GCAUUUUGGGUGUACCUUGUAGUGAUGAUGAAUUUGGGCAUGUGCACACCUAUCUCUUUCUCCACACACACCUGUGCACUUGUGAGGCAGAUGGGGAAUUUAUUGAUUGUUUUUUAAGAACAAUUGGUGCUGGACCCUCUGUCUACUCAAUAUAUAAACUCAAUUUAUUUAGAAAUGAAUGUAAUGGAUGUAACGCAUCUAAUACUAAGUUUCAACAACGGAUCUCUUGGCUCUCGCAUCGAUGAAGAACGCAGCGAAAUGCGAUAAGUAAUGUGAAUUGCAGAAUUCAGUGAAUCAUCGAAUCUUUGAACGCACCUUGCGCUCCUUGGUAUUCCUUGGAGCAUGCCUGUUUGAGUAUCAUGAAAUCUUCAAAGUAAAUCUUUUGUUAACUCNAUUGGUUCUACUUUGGUAUUGGAGGUCUUUGCAGCUUCACACCUGCUCCUCUUCGUUCAUUAGCUGGAUCUCAGUGUUAUGCUUGGUUCCACUCAGCGUGAUAAGUUAUCUAUCGCUUGAGGACACUGUAACAGGUGGCCAAGGGAAAUGCAGAUGAACCGCUUCUAAUAGUCCAUUGACUUGGACACUAUUUUUAUAUCUAGGUCAGGAA
RNAcentral lists this ribosomal RNA (604 nucleotides) under Thanatephorus sp. CBS 347.84. RNAcentral's name for it is "eukaryotic LSU rRNA". The stretch from base 207 to 360 matches the Rfam family "5.8S ribosomal RNA". The record is from RNAcentral. Lineage: Eukaryota; Fungi; Basidiomycota; Agaricomycetes; Cantharellales; Ceratobasidiaceae.